RNAcentral lists this ribosomal RNA (465 nucleotides) under uncultured bacterium. Its description in RNAcentral is "partial 16S ribosomal RNA". It matches the Rfam family "Bacterial small subunit ribosomal RNA", at positions 339 to 795 of the family's 1533-position model. The record is from RNAcentral.
CUACGGGAUGCUGCAGUGAGGAAUUUUGCGCAAUGGGGGAAACCCUGACGCAGCAACGCCGCGUGAGUGAAGAAGGCCUUUGGGUCGUAAAGCUCUGUCAACUGGGAAGAAGUUAACCAGAAUUAAUAGUUGUGGUUAUUGACGGUACCAGUGGAGGAAGCGCCGGCUAACUCCGUGCCAGCAGCCGCGGUAACACGGGGGGCGCAAGCGUUAUUCGGAAUUAUUGGGCGUAAAGGGCGCGCAGGCGGUCUUGUCAGUCAGGUGUGAAAGCCCGGGGCUCAACCCUGGAAGUGCACUUGAAACAGCAAGACUUGAGUACGGGAGAGGAGAGAGGAAUUCCUGGUGUAGAGGUGAAAUUCGUAGAUAUCAGGAGGAACACCGAUGGCGAAGGCAUCUCUCUGGACCGAUACUGACGCCGAGGCGCGAAGGCGUGGGUAGCGAACGGGAUUAGAUACCCUGGUAGUC